AAGCAAAUUUGGAAAGUCAGCAAGUGGAUCCGUAACUUUGGGAAAAGAAUUGCCCAUGAGGGCUAGGUGCUCAUUGCAUCCGUCAGCUUCCUUUGUGCAACGGUGCUGCGAAGGCUUGUUCCUGCCACGAGGCGUGUUGUGCGAACUGCCGUCACUGACUUAGGUGCAACCGUUGGUCUUAGUGCGCAUUGAGCAGCUGACAAGAACUAAGGUGUGGCGGAUAAGGAUCCACGUCUUUUCUUUGUAAGGCAUUGCCAUAGCCGCAAAGGGCGUUGAAAGAAUGUGAAGCGUGCCCACCGCGCUGAAGGUCAAUUUUGACAAAAUUCAAUUCAAGCACGGGUAAUAGCGACCCACAUAUUAUUUUCGCUCUCAAAGGUUGCUUAGUGUCUCAUCGAUUAGUUAGUGGCAUGCAUGAAUAGAUCAAAGCUAUCCAGCGAAGCCAGAGCCAAAGGAACAGGCUCGGCGGUUUCAGCAGGGAAAAUUAACCGUGGUGAGGUGAGGGAUUGUUGUCGAAAUUCGUGGAACGACAGAGGAGAUUAUGCAUUUGCGUUAGCGUCGGGGUUCGUGAAAUAACACUGCCAGGGGUGUCUUCCGCAAGCUUCAGCGCCGAGUGUAGUCAAGCGAUGGAUUUGGCUUGGGUGACACAUCUGGAAAAAAAUCCAGGUGUCCAGAAGACAAGCUCAACAACAGCAAAGAUCUACUGUUAACCCGAAGAGGAAAAGGCGUCUUGGUUUUGAUUUCCGACACGAAUCCAAAUUGUGAAAUCACGGCUAAUGGAUCCUUUAAAUGUUAAAAACUUGCAGCUGCGGGUGUCGGAAGAGUUGCCAGAAGGACAACUGGCUGGCGGCAGCCAUUCUUUUACAGCCAUGUUGUUUUCGAAUCUUUGAUGUCGCCUUAUCCUAUAUUUGGAACGCGGAAGUCUUAUAUUGUUUCUCCCCAACAACAGGGGCUGUAAAUUGGAUUAAGGCUACUUCCCAAGAGAAAAGAAUAUGGCCAGUUUAAGCCUAUUGCUGCAUCGCUAGCUGCUGCAGUGAUCUGACUUGGAACGAAAUACGUACUCUAAUUCCUUGAUUGCGUGCCUAGCUGGAAGGCCUGUGCCGCGAAGUUACUGGUUGCUGGACUCUUUACUGAAAACCUCUUGGUCAGAAUUCCGGCAAGCCUAACGAUGGAGCUGAUCGUCUUACAGCGACUUGGAGCUCCGUAUAUUGGCGACAGGCAAUACUUCUCAGCAACGCACCAGGCUCCACCCUUUAGGAGAGAACUGGAGUUUCCCACAUCUAAGGCGCUAUAGCCAUCGCAAACACCUUUGGCGCAGCCGGAUGCUGUGAGUGUGAAAGUAGGACUGUGCCACAAACUUCUUAACUUCACCGUGCGUCGACCGAUGC
RNAcentral lists this non-coding RNA (1385 nucleotides) under Cyclospora cayetanensis. RNAcentral's name for it is "Eukaryotic large subunit ribosomal RNA". It matches the Rfam family "Eukaryotic large subunit ribosomal RNA", at positions 1893 to 3401 of the family's 3401-position model. Lineage: Eukaryota; Apicomplexa; Conoidasida; Eucoccidiorida; Eimeriidae. The record is from Rfam by way of RNAcentral.